This 100-nucleotide Y RNA is filed under the name Saimiri boliviensis boliviensis (Bolivian squirrel monkey). RNAcentral's name for it is "Y RNA (ENSSBOG00000007527.1)". It matches the Rfam family "Y RNA". Rfam says of the family: Y RNAs are components of the Ro ribonucleoprotein particle (Ro RNP), in association with Ro60 and La proteins. The record is from Rfam by way of RNAcentral. Lineage: Eukaryota; Metazoa; Chordata; Mammalia; Primates; Cebidae.
GGCUGGUCAAGUGCAAUGGGGUUUAUGCUAACCGAUCGCAACCAGUUACAGAUUUAUUUGUUCUCCUUCCGCUCCUGCCGCUUCACUUGACUAGCCUUUA